CGCGGCCUAUCAGCUUGUUGGUGAGGUAACGGCUCACCAAGGCAUCGACGGGUAGCUGGUCUGAGAGGAUGAUCAGCCACACUGGGACUGAGACACGGCCCAGACUCCUACGGGAGGCAGCAGUGGGGAAUAUUGCACAAUGGGCGCAAGCCUGAUGCAGCAACGCCGCGUGCGGGAUGAAGGCCCUAGGGUUGUAAACCGCUUUCAGCAGGGAAGAAACUGACGGUACCUGCAGAAGAAGGUGCGGCCAACUACGUGCCAGCAGCCGCGGUGACACGUAGGCACCAAGCGUUGUCCGGAUUUAUUGGGCGUAAAGAGCUCGUAGGCGGUUCAGUAAGUCGGGUGUGAAAACUCUGGGCUCAACCCAGAGACGCCACCCGAUACUGCUGUGACUUGAGUACGGUAGGGGAGUGGGGGAUUCCUGGUGUAGCGGUGAAAUGCGCAGAUAUCAGGAGGAACACCAGUGGCGAAGGCGCCACUCUGGGCCGUAACUGACGCUGAGGAGCGAAAGCGUGGGUAGCAAACAGGAUUAGAUACCCUGGUAGUCCACGCCGUAAACGUUGGGCACUAGGUGUGGGUCUCAACCAACGAGAUCCGCGCCGUCGCUAACGCAUUAAGUGCCCCGCCUGGGGAGUACGG
This 639-nucleotide ribosomal RNA is filed under the name uncultured bacterium. Its description in RNAcentral is "bacterial SSU rRNA". It matches the Rfam family "Bacterial small subunit ribosomal RNA", at positions 232 to 885 of the family's 1533-position model. The record is from RNAcentral.